RNAcentral lists this ribosomal RNA (460 nucleotides) under uncultured bacterium. RNAcentral describes it as "partial 16S ribosomal RNA". It matches the Rfam family "Bacterial small subunit ribosomal RNA", at positions 338 to 795 of the family's 1533-position model. The record is from RNAcentral.
CCUACGGGAGGCAGCAGUGAGGAAUAUUGGUCAAUGGGCGCGAGCCUGAACCAGCCACGUAGCGUGAAGGAUGACUGCCCUACGGGUUGUAAACUUCUUUUGUAAAGGAAUAAAGUGAGGCACCUGUGCCUUUUUGUAUGUCCUUUAUGAUUCAGGCUCGGCUAACUCCGUGCCAGCAGCCGCGGUAAUACGGAGGAUCCGAGCGUUAUCCGGAUUUAUUGGGUUUAAAGGGAGCGUAGAUGGGUUGUUAAGUCUGUUGGGAAAGUUUGCGGCUCAACCGUAAAAUUGCAAUUGAUACUGGCAGUCUUGAGUACAGUUGAGGUAGGCGGAAUUCGUGGUGUAGCGGUGAAAUGCUUAGAUAUCACGAAGAACUCCGAUUGCGAAGGCAGCUUACUAAACUGCCACUGACAUUGAGGCUCGAAAGUGUGGGUAGCAAACAGGAUUAGAUACCCUAGUAGUC